This 138-nucleotide ribosomal RNA is filed under the name uncultured bacterium. RNAcentral's name for it is "partial 16S ribosomal RNA". It matches the Rfam family "Bacterial small subunit ribosomal RNA", at positions 355 to 509 of the family's 1533-position model. The record is from RNAcentral.
UGGGGAAUAUUGCACAAUGGGGGGAAACCCUGAUGCAGCGACGCCGCGUGAGCGAAGAAGUAUUUCGGUAUGUAAAGCUCUAUCAGCAGGGAAGAUAAUGACGGUACCUGACUAAGAAGCCCCGGUUAACUACGUGCC